UUAACAUGAUGAUUUUUUAUCACCAUAUGUUUUUUUUUCUGGCAUCUCUAAUGUUAGGGUGAGUGACGUUUAAGUACCGAACUCACUCGAUGAAUACAACUUUGUGACUAUACUCUGAAA
RNAcentral lists this small nucleolar RNA (120 nucleotides) under Kazachstania africana CBS 2517. Its description in RNAcentral is "Small nucleolar RNA snR48". It matches the Rfam family "Small nucleolar RNA snR48". Rfam says of the family: snR48 is a member of the C/D class of snoRNA which contain the C (UGAUGA) and D (CUGA) box motifs. Most of the members of the box C/D family function in directing site-specific 2'-O-methylation of substrate RNAs. Lineage: Eukaryota; Fungi; Ascomycota; Saccharomycetes; Saccharomycetales; Saccharomycetaceae. The record is from Rfam by way of RNAcentral.